This 72-nucleotide small nucleolar RNA is filed under the name Loxodonta africana (African savanna elephant). RNAcentral's name for it is "Small nucleolar RNA SNORD112 (ENSLAFG00000033095.1)". Lineage: Eukaryota; Metazoa; Chordata; Mammalia; Proboscidea; Elephantidae. The record is from RNAcentral.
UGGACCAGUGAUGAGAGUGUGUUAUGAAUCAGGGGUCACGAUUAACCCAGUUUCAUGCACCUGAGGUCCAAC